RNAcentral lists this ribosomal RNA (285 nucleotides) under uncultured prokaryote. RNAcentral's name for it is "partial 16S ribosomal RNA". The record is from RNAcentral.
CCCUACGGGGCGCUCAGGUGGUAUUUCAGGAACUGGUGUCUCCGGUCCUCCUGAGAAUGGGGGGGCAUGUCCAGCAGAAAGCUCCGGGCCUUCGAGCCAUUCUGCAGGCCCCCGUCAAAAGGAAGCAGGAGGGAACCCUGGCAAUCCGGGGAAUGCUGGACCUGGAGACGCUUCCCCCUUCUUUUUUACCACAAUCGAAAAAAUCGGGACCUCUUUAUGAGGACCUGCGGAACAGCUUCGCGUAUAUACUCUUAGAGGCCCAUGUGCAGGAAUUGGCGGGAGGGC